UACGUAGGUGGCAAGCGUUGUUCGGAAUUACUGGGCGUAAAGCGUGCGCAGGCGGUUUUGUAAGCCUGAUGUGAAAUCCCCGGGCUCAACCUGGGAAUGGCAUUUGGGACUGCAAGGCUGGAGUUUGGCAGAGGAGACUGGAAUUCCCGGUGUAGCAGUGAAAUGCGUAGAUAUCGGGGGGAAUACCGAUGGCGAAGGCAGGUCUCUGGGCUAUAACUGACGCUCAUGCACGAAAGCGUGGGGAGCAAACAGG
This 253-nucleotide ribosomal RNA is filed under the name uncultured bacterium. RNAcentral describes it as "partial 16S ribosomal RNA". It matches the Rfam family "Bacterial small subunit ribosomal RNA", at positions 524 to 776 of the family's 1533-position model. The record is from RNAcentral.